GGACGGGUGAGUAACGCGUGGGAACGUGCCCUUUGCUACGGAAUAGUCCCGGGAAACUGGGUUUAAUACCGUAUACGCCCUUUGGGGGAAAGAUUUAUCGGCAAAGGAUCGGCCCGCGUUGGAUUAGGUAGUUGGUGGGGUAAUGGCCUACCAAGCCGACGAUCCAUAGCUGGUUUGAGAGGAUGAUCAGCCACACUGGGACUGAGACACGGCCCAGACUCCUACGGGAGGCAGCAGUGGGGAAUCUUAGACAAUGGGGGCAACCCUGAUCUAGCCAUGCCGCGUGAGUGAUGAAGGCCUUAGGGUUGUAAAGCUCUUUCAGCUGGGAAGAUAAUGACGGUACCAGCAGAAGAAGCCCCGGCUAACUCCGUGCCAGCAGCCGCGGUAAUACGGAGGGGGCUAGCGUUGUUCGGAAUUACUGGGCGUAAAGCGCACGUAGGCGGAUCGGAAAGUUGGGGGUGAAAUCCCGGGGCUCAACCUCGGAACUGCCUCCAAAACUAUCGGUCUUGAGUUCGAGAGAGGUGAGUGGAAUUCCGAGUGUAGAGGUGAAAUUCGUAGAUAUUCGGAGGAACACCAGUGGCGAAGGCGGCUCACUGGCUC
This 600-nucleotide ribosomal RNA is filed under the name Ectopseudomonas chengduensis. Its description in RNAcentral is "bacterial SSU rRNA". It matches the Rfam family "Bacterial small subunit ribosomal RNA", at positions 100 to 735 of the family's 1533-position model. Lineage: Bacteria; Pseudomonadati; Pseudomonadota; Gammaproteobacteria; Pseudomonadales; Pseudomonadaceae. The record is from RNAcentral.